ACCACUAAAGGCAGAAAAGAAUGAAAUCAUCCCACCCACUGACCCGUUCCCAAUCUGAGCAUAUGGAUAGGGCCCAAAGCACAUUUAACAGAAGAGAAACCUGAUGGCCUUAUCAAUGAAGCUACUAGACAAGUUGCUUUGGCAGAUGCCAUUCUCAUUAAUAAAACAGACCUGGUUCCAGAAGAAGAUGUAAAGAAAUUAAGAACGACAAUUAGAUCCAUAAAUGGACUAGGACAAAUCUUAGAAACACAAAGAUCAAGGUACUUUAAAAAAGCUAUUCCUAUUAAUAACAAAUCAUUUUAGUUAUUAAUAAUAAACAUUAAAUAAUUGACAAAUAUGCUUGAUUCUAAUAUAAGAAAGAUCUAAGUGCAUUUAAAAAGAAUUGGAUCCAAAAUGUUGUUUGGAAUGCUCUUAAUAAGUUAGUUUGGCAUAUUUGGCUAGUACAUUUGCCUGUCUUCAAAACUAAGAAUACAAAGCCAUGAUAACACUGUGUAAGUGUUUGCUUAAUGAGGAAGAAAAGACUUCCAAACACUCGAGAGGGUAACUCAG
RNAcentral lists this long non-coding RNA (549 nucleotides) under Homo sapiens (human). RNAcentral's name for it is "non-protein coding lnc-FOXD4-5:3". Lineage: Eukaryota; Metazoa; Chordata; Mammalia; Primates; Hominidae. The record is from RNAcentral.